CCGGAGCGACACAGUGCGUCA
This 21-nucleotide non-coding RNA is filed under the name Arabidopsis thaliana (thale cress). The record is from RNAcentral. Lineage: Eukaryota; Viridiplantae; Streptophyta; Magnoliopsida; Brassicales; Brassicaceae.